GACGAACGCUGGCGGCGCGCCUAACACAUGCAAGUCGAACGGAGCUGAGAGGAGCUUGCUUUUCUCAGCUUAGUGGCGAACGGGUGAGUAACGCGUGAGUAACCUGCCCUGGAGUGGGGGACAACAGUUGGAAACGACUGCUAAUACCGCAUAAGCCCACGGAUCCGCAUGGAUCUGCGGGAAAAGGAUUUAUUCGCUUCAGGAUGGACUCGCGUCCAAUUAGCUAGUUGGUGAGGUAACGGCCCACCAAGGCGACGAUUGGUAGCCGGACUGAGAGGUUGAACGGCCACAUUGGGACUGAGACACGGCCCAGACUCCUACGGGAGGCAGCAGUGGGGGAUAUUGCACAAUGGGGGAAACCCUGAUGCAGCGACGCCGCGUGGAGGAAGAAGGUUUUCGGAUUGUAAACUCCUGUCGUUAGGGACGAUAAUGACGGUACCUAACAAGAAAGCACCGGCUAACUACGUAGCCAGCAGCCG
Molecule: ribosomal RNA, 479 nt
Filed under: uncultured bacterium
Lineage: Bacteria
Description: bacterial SSU rRNA
Rfam family: Bacterial small subunit ribosomal RNA
Source: RNAcentral